GAUGAACGCUGACAGAAUGCUUAACACAUGCAAGUCAACCUGAAUUUGGGUUUUUAACUUAGGUUUGGGUGGCGGACGGGUGAGUAACGCGUAAAGAACUUGCCUCACAGCUAGGGACAACAUCUGGAAACGAAUGCUAAUACCUAAUAUUAUGAUAAUAGGGCAUCCUAUAAUUAUGAAAGCUAUAAGCGCUGUGAGAGAGCUUUGCGUCCCAUUAGCUAGUUGGAGAGGUAACGGCUCACCAAGGCGAUGAUGGGUAGCCGGCCUGAGAGGGUGAUCGGCCACGAGGGGACUGAGACACGGCCCUUACUCCUACGGGAGGCAGCAGUGGGGAAUAGUGGACAAUGGACCGAGAGACUGAUCCAGCAAUUCUGUGUGCACGAUGAAGUUUUUCGGAAUGUAAAGUGCUUUCAGUUGAGAAGAAACAAAUGACGGUACCAACAGAAGAAGUGACGGCUAAAUACGUG
This 467-nucleotide ribosomal RNA is filed under the name uncultured bacterium. Its description in RNAcentral is "partial 16S ribosomal RNA". It matches the Rfam family "Bacterial small subunit ribosomal RNA", at positions 28 to 507 of the family's 1533-position model. The record is from RNAcentral.